UGUAAAAAAACUUCACAAAGACACAUGACAUCAUCGGGUUACAGAGCGCUUUACACACAGCCUCACCUCGCUCUCUGCGCAGCCCUGCGAGCUACAGAUAAUUCUCCCAACCGCAUGCGACAAAACCGAGGCUCGGCAAAGCGCAGAUAAGUGGCCCGAUGUCACGGAUGUGACUAAAUAUUAGCAGGUCUAGGAUGAAAACCCCUAUCGCUCUGAUUUUGAAGUUGCUGUUGGGUUUCUCUCUCUCUUUUUCUCUCUCUCUCUUCCUACAUUACAGGUGCUCAUUCCAUCUCAUAAGGGCUCAGCGUUAAGAGAGAAACUUGAUGGGUGCUGGAGGACAGUGAAUGUUACUGCCGGAUGGUGACGUUUCCCCCUCACCCCCUGAACACAGGACGCCCGUCACCACCUGCCUUACAGCCAGCCCAGUGCACGCUGGCGGCCGGAAGGGGUACGCGCACGCACGCACGCACGGACGCAUGCGCACACGGGCUCUGUGAUAGCAAGAUGAGCAAGAAUCGGGGUGGCUGCCAAAAACGCAGCCCCGUGGCCUUCCGCCCCACCCCGAAAACGUACUUACCCCCGCCUUGCACAGUCUUGUAAAGACUGUGCUGUCGGCCCACGUUAGGGCGUUGUUUUCACUCUGCUGUCUACACGGCCCUGGACGGGCUCAUCCACGUCUGCGCUUUGGCUGAGACCGCAGGCCCCGGAGGGCAGAGACUGGCCGCACGGACCUCGUACCCCGCACCCACGCCGAGCCAGACACAAUCAUGUGCUUAAUAAAGGUUGCAGCAGAUGACCACAGAGAUACAACUGCAUUAUUCCAACUUAAAGAGAGGCGAGCCCUCCGGGCAGGGCAACUUUCCGCGGACAGCGCUGGGCAGCGGAACGGACACAACCACCCGGACAAAGCGCGGAUCUGCGUCCUCGGCCCUCCCCGGCGCCACCCGGCUCCAGAACAGAAGGGUCCCCUCUCGGUGCAAUGGGGACGAUAACAGCCCCUUCGCGGGGCGGGGGUGCAGUCAAGCGAACGGGCUGAGAAACGCUUAGUGAACAGAAAAGCACUAUGAAUCUGUCGCUCAGGAAAAAGGAACAAGAAGUAAAAAAAUAACAACCGAGCCAGCGCCUGGGAUGUCCAAGCAUCCGGCGCCUUAUUACCAGGAAUGCCUCCCGAGCUUUCCAUCCGCAGCAGCGGAAACGGUCUCCUUCACCUGAUCCCCUGGGCCUGGCGGAGGGCCUGGCGCAGGGCCUGGUGCAUCCCGGCGAGCGGGCCGGGCGCGCCAGAGAGCCUUGCGAAAAGCUGGCUGCUUCGAUGAAAAGUCGCUUUGCACCCACCUUUGGGAGCAGCUGGAGAGAAGGGAAGAAGCCCAGGUUCUCUCCCAAUCCCGUUACGUCCCACUAAGCCCUCUAGCCAUCCUGGAUGGAUCACAGCACGCCUCACACGUUUCCCCACAUUGGGGAGUGUUUGUUCCAGGCAUAGACAGACUAGUUAGUGCAAAUGGCCAGGCGGCUGUGGACCCCGAGGAGGGGGGGGGGGGAAGACCUGAGCAGCUACAAAGCUGCCAGGGUCAGUCCUGCGGGGGCGCUGAGCCUGCUUUUCAUGAGGUGAAGGUCCAAGGCUGGUGGUGGGGUGAGAAGGCACCCCAGGACGGGGGCAGGUCCCAAGCCUGAGCCACUAGUAAGUGAGCAGGUGUUGGGUGGGGACCUGGAGGGAGUUGGGGGGACAGGGUGGAGGAGCAGAGGAGUGAGGAGAAGCAGCACCGGUGCCAGGAAGUAGGACUGGCACAGGGGUGCGGUGGGGAGGUCACGGGGGUGCACUGGGGAGGUCACGGAGGUGCGGUGGAGGUCGUGGGGGUGUGGUGGGGAGGUCAUGGGGGUGCAGUGGGGGGUCGUGGGGGUACAGUGGGGAGGUCACAGGGGUGCGGUGGGGAAGUCAGGGGGGUGCGCUGGGGAGGUCACGGGGCUGUAACGGGGAGGUCGCAGUGCUGGCCCCUUUGACGUGGUCUCUGGAUGAUCAUUCCUUCCCCGGGGAGCCCCCACUCUGUGUCUAAGAUUGAACUGCUGUCACUUCUCCCGGACGCUCAGGCUUGCUGGGCACCUGGACAAAGGUGAUCUGCCCUCACUCGGAGCUUCCCGGCUGUGCUACUCCUUGGCAGGUUACCACCCACUGCCUUGCUCUGGGAUGAUAUGAACACACUGAGGACCUACUAUGUGCCGAGUGCUCCCCAUGGAGCUAGUCCUCCCCGCGGCCCCAUACUCGGUCACGUCAUCCCCAUUUCAGAGAAGGGCCUUGGAGCGAGGUCAUCGGCCACACGGUCUCCAGGCCGGACACGUGACCCCAGCGCCAGACGCCCUGUCCUUUGGACGAGUCGCUUAACAUCUUUGUGCCUCAGAGUUCCCCUCUGUAAAAUGGGGACGCCAAAUACCUACCUCACCCCCGUGAAGGCCAUUAACGAACCAGGCAUAAAUGCACAGCCAUCACUUAGAAAGGUGCCGGCACACCACUAACUGAGGCUCGGAAACUCGCCCAGCACCCGAUAUGCUACCCAGCUGGGGUGCUAACCGAGUAGGUCUGACUUUAUUUAUUUAUUUUUUUAAUGUUUAUUUAUUUUUGAGACAGAGACAGACACAGCAUGAGCAGGGAAGGGGCAGAGAGAGAGGGAGACACAGAAUGCGAAGCAGGCUCCAGGCUCUGAGCCGUCAGCACAGAGCCCGACGCGGGGCUCGAACUCACGGACCGCGAGAUCAUGACCUGAGCCGAGGUCGGCUGCGUAACCGACUGAGCCACCCAGGCGCCCUUAGUCUGACUUUAAAACCCACUCUCUGUCCAUUUCUCCAGACUGUCCCCGUCUGCGACAAGUCGGGCUGGGUUAGAACGCGCUCGAGGGACACGGGUGCACUCCCCCCCGACCCCCCGCUGUCGCCCCAGCCCCUAGAGGCCGUUGGACCGCGUGAGCCCCGACAAGUCAGGCCAGGGCGAGCGUGUAGUAGACGCCACUGAUGCGUCACCCGCGUCAACCCAGCAGCACAGGAGGAGGAGGAUGCUGGGCCUGCCCCGAAUUUGCUUCCUGCGCCUUUGAGAUUUGGAGGGACACCGCACAGCACGAUGCCUCUCCUAGCACAAUAAUUUAAUGUUUCUUUCCCGUGCUUCGAACACUGCACUUCCUCCAGGAAGCCUUCCCGGAUUGAUUCUAUCUUAAAGAUGGAGAGAAAUGAUUUCAGUUUAGAGGACACAGAGCCAGAGCCGCUCAGCACAUUGCCUGGCCCAGAUGGAAUGUUACCGGCAACGCUGUUGUCCCCGGACUCCUCGUCCUGUGCCCGUUCCCUUGUCCCUGCUGCCUCCCCAGUCCAGUAGGGAGAACGGAUGGUCCAGUGUGGUGGCUGGGGAUUUCCGAAACUAUGCCACUCCGACUCGAUCGCCAGAUAUCCUUCCCUGUACUCACUCUCCUCCCACGUCUGACACAGGUGUUGUUGGUCUCAAAUAAAAAGUCACUGAACUGUC
Molecule: long non-coding RNA, 3499 nt
Organism: Leopardus geoffroyi (Geoffroy's cat)
Lineage: Eukaryota; Metazoa; Chordata; Mammalia; Carnivora; Felidae
Exons: 2
Source: RefSeq, a predicted model, not a curated record